This 403-nucleotide ribosomal RNA is filed under the name Verrucomicrobiota bacterium. Its description in RNAcentral is "Verrucomicrobia bacterium partial 16S ribosomal RNA". It matches the Rfam family "Bacterial small subunit ribosomal RNA", at positions 355 to 776 of the family's 1533-position model. Lineage: Bacteria; Pseudomonadati; Verrucomicrobiota. The record is from RNAcentral.
UGGGGAAUAUUGCACAAUGGGGGAAACCCUGAUGCAGCGACGCCGCGUGAGCGAAGAAGGCUUUCGAGUCGUAAAGCUCUGUCCUAUGAGAAGAUAAUGACGGUAUCAUAGGAUGAAGCCCUGGCUAAAUACGUGCCAGCAGCCGCGGUAAUACGUAUGGGGCGAGCGUUGUCCGGAAUUAUUGGGCGUAAAGGGUACGUAGGCGGUUUUUUAAGUCAGGUGUCAAAGCGUGGAGCUUAACUCCAUUAAGCACUUGAAACUGAAAGACUUGAGUGAAGGAGAGGAAAGUGGAAUUCCUAGUGUAGCGGUGAAAUGCGUAGAUAUUAGGAGGAAUACCGGUGGCGAAGGCGACUUUCUGGACUUUUACUGACGCUCAGGUACGAAAGCGUGGGGAGCAAACAGG